Cavia porcellus (domestic guinea pig) is the source of this 96-nucleotide unclassified non-coding RNA. It matches the Rfam family "Y RNA". Rfam says of the family: Y RNAs are components of the Ro ribonucleoprotein particle (Ro RNP), in association with Ro60 and La proteins. The Y RNAs and Ro60 and La proteins are well conserved, but the function of the Ro RNP is not known. Lineage: Eukaryota; Metazoa; Chordata; Mammalia; Rodentia; Caviidae. The record is from Ensembl.
UGCUAGUCCGAUGGCAGUGGGUUUCAGAACUUAUUAACAUUAGUGUCAAUAAAGUUGGUAUACCACCCCCUCACUGCUAAAUUUGACUGGCUUUAA